This is a small nuclear RNA of Mesocricetus auratus (golden hamster), 167 nucleotides long. Its record names the gene U1. It matches the Rfam family "U1 spliceosomal RNA". Rfam says of the family: U1 is a small nuclear RNA (snRNA) component of the spliceosome (involved in pre-mRNA splicing). Its 5' end forms complementary base pairs with the 5' splice junction, thus defining the 5' donor site of an intron. The record is from Ensembl. Lineage: Eukaryota; Metazoa; Chordata; Mammalia; Rodentia; Cricetidae.
CUGCUUACCUGGCAGGGUGGGCCCAUGAUGGUGUGGUGAAGGUAGCUUUCCCAGGGUGAGGCUCAUCCAAUGCACUCUGGGUGUGCUGCCCCUUGUGGCUCCCCCCACGUGGGAAACUUAACCAUGUAAUUUGUGGCAAUGAGGAAAUGUGUUUGUGCUCUCUCUCA